UUGAAGAGUUUGAUCAUGGCUCAGAUUGAACGCUGGCGGCAGGCCUAACACAUGCAAGUCGAGCGGUAGCACAGAGAGCUUGCUCUCGGGUGACGAGCGGCGGACGGGUGAGUAAUGUCUGGGAAACUGCCUGAUGGAGGGGGAUAACUACUGGAAACGGUAGCUAAUACCGCAUAAYGUCGCAAGACCAAAGUGGGGGACCUUCGGGCCUCAUGCCAUCAGAUGUGCCCAGAUGGGAUUAGCUAGUAGGUGGGGUAAYGGCUCACCUAGGCGACGAUCCCUAGCUGGUCUGAGAGGAUGACCAGCCACACUGGAACUGAGACACGGUCCAGACUCCUACGGGAGGCAGCAGUGGGGAAUAUUGCACAAUGGGCGCAAGCCUGAUGCAGCCAUGCCGCGUGUGUGAAGAAGGCCUUCGGGUUGUAAAGCACUUUCAGCGGGGAGGAAGGCGWURAGGUUAAUAACCUYRKCGAUUGACGUUACCCGCAGAAGAAGCACCGGCUAACUCCGUGCCAGCAGCCGCGGUAAUACGGAGGGUGCAAGCGUUAAUCGGAAUUACUGGGCGUAAAGCGCACGCAGGCGGUCUGUCAAGUCGGAUGUGAAAUCCCCGGGCUCAACCUGGGAACUGCAUUCGAAACUGGCAGGCUAGAGUCUUGUAGAGGGGGGUAGAAUUCCAGGUGUAGCGGUGAAAUGCGUAGAGAUCUGGAGGAAUACCGGUGGCGAAGGCGGCCCCCUGGACAAAGACUGACGCUCAGGUGCGAAAGCGUGGGGAGCAAACAGGAUUAGAUACCCUGGUAGUCCACGCCGUAAACGAUGUCGAUUUGGAGGUUGUGCCCUUGAGGCGUGGCUUCCGGAGCUAACGCGUUAAAUCGACCGCCUGGGGAGUACGGCCGCAAGGUUAAAACUCAAAUGAAUUGACGGGGGCCCGCACAAGCGGUGGAGCAUGUGGUUUAAUUCGAUGCAACGCGAAGAACCUUACCUGGUCUUGACAUCCACAGAACUUUCCAGAGAUGGAUUGGUGCCUUCGGGAACUGUGAGACAGGUGCUGCAUGGCUGUCGUCAGCUCGUGUUGUGAAAUGUUGGGUUAAGUCCCGCAACGAGCGCAACCCUUAUCCUUUGUUGCCAGCGGUUA
RNAcentral lists this ribosomal RNA (1132 nucleotides) under Klebsiella pneumoniae. RNAcentral's name for it is "bacterial SSU rRNA". Lineage: Bacteria; Pseudomonadati; Pseudomonadota; Gammaproteobacteria; Enterobacterales; Enterobacteriaceae. The record is from RNAcentral.